This 365-nucleotide ribosomal RNA is filed under the name uncultured bacterium. RNAcentral's name for it is "bacterial SSU rRNA". It matches the Rfam family "Bacterial small subunit ribosomal RNA", at positions 975 to 1342 of the family's 1533-position model. The record is from RNAcentral.
CAGGUUUUGACAUCCCGGGGAAUCCUUCGGAGAAAGAGGUUUCCUUUUGGGGUCAGGGCAACAGGUGGUGCAUGGUUGUCAUCAGCUGUUGUGGGGAGAUGUUGGAUUAAGUCCCGCAAGGAGCGCAACCCUUGUUUUUAGUCACCAGCAUUUAGUUGGGCAUUUUAAGGGGACUCCCGGGUACAAACCGGAGGAAGGUGGGGAGGACGUCAAAUCUUCAUGCCCUUUAUGACAUGGGUUACACACGUGUUCCAAUGGCGGGUACAAAGGGUAGGGAACCGGGGAGNGGGAGCAAAUCCCUUAAACCCGUUUUCAGUUCGGAUGCAUGCUGCAAUUGGCCUCCAGAAGCNGGAAUCGNUNGUAAU